Fukomys damarensis (Damara mole-rat) is the source of this 869-nucleotide long non-coding RNA. RefSeq lists it as uncharacterized. The record is from RefSeq and is a predicted model, not a curated record. Lineage: Eukaryota; Metazoa; Chordata; Mammalia; Rodentia; Bathyergidae. The transcript has 3 exons.
UCCCUCCCAACAACCUUCUCCAAGGGUGGCUCCCUCCGUGGGGUAGGCUGGGUAAAUUGCUCCACACCACCGUGCCUGCUACACGCAGGGGGAAAAUGCGAGCUGUGCCGGUGGUUGUUGUCAUCAGUAGCACACACGGAUGGGAUCAGGAGCCAGGCUUCCUGACUCAAUCAUCGGCAGGCACCAUGAGCCAGACAGCUCUGCUCCCCCAGUCCCCCUGCCAGGACAUCUCGGCCUUGGACCCAGCAACCACGGACUGAACGCACAAAACCAGGCCUGUGGCCCCACCUACCUGGAACGGGGGCGAGAAGGGAAGUUUUCUGUGUCUUCAGGAGCAACUGAUACAAAACAGCAUCUGGUGAACUCGUAGUGCCAGCCGUGUGUGGUGCCAUAGCCACACCUCGCUUCCUGGAGGCACCGCAAAACGAUGACAUCAACCACCUCACGUCAUUACCGAGAUCCUAACUGACGAGGACACUGAAGCUUAGAAAAACUGCAUAACUUGCCUAAAGCCACCCCGAGAUUCGGGGUUGAACUUCAGGUUUGAAGUCUCUGGAACUUGCGCCCUUCCCUCUCAGAUCCCAGGAGAGUUGGAAGGGAAACUGCUUCCCCUGGGGGGCAUCAACGCAUAAACCACUGCCUUUCUGCCCACCAGGCCCGGGUCCAUGAACAGAAACACAGCCAGCUAACUCCGGACUCCCCCCGUGUGGCCGUGACACUUGGAAGAGGUGACCCACAGUUCCUGAUGAUUUAUUUUUCAUUUAGGCCCAAAAUAUAGGAGGCAUCUUUUGAUUUUCUUCCCUUUCUCUUGUGUUCUGUGUUAGGAGGUCCAGCUUGUUCACCUUCUAGAACCUGUAUCAAAUUAAAAU